This 402-nucleotide ribosomal RNA is filed under the name uncultured bacterium. RNAcentral's name for it is "bacterial SSU rRNA". It matches the Rfam family "Bacterial small subunit ribosomal RNA", at positions 355 to 773 of the family's 1533-position model. The record is from RNAcentral.
UGAGGAAUUUUCCGCAAUGGUCGCAAGACUGACGGAGCAACGCCGCGUGCAGGAGGACGCUUUUCGGAGUGUAAACUGCUUUUCUGUGGGAAGAGCAAGGACGGUACCACAGGAAGAAGCCCCGGCUAACUACGUGCCAGCAGCCGCGGUAAUACGUAGGGGGCGAGCGUUGUCCGGAGUUACUGGGCGUAAAGGGCACGCAGGCGGUGCGGCGCGUUUCGCGUGACAGCGGAGGGCUUACCUCUCCGAGGAUGCGAAAGACGGCGGCACUUGAGGGCCAGAGAGGGACACGGAAUUCCGGGUGGAGUGGUGAAAUGCGUAGAGAUCCGGAGGAACACCGAAGGCGAAGGCAGUGUCCUGGCUGGUGACUGACGCUGAGGUGCGAAAGCUAGGGGAGCGAAC